Molecule: long non-coding RNA, 1034 nt
Filed under: Olea europaea (common olive)
Lineage: Eukaryota; Viridiplantae; Streptophyta; Magnoliopsida; Lamiales; Oleaceae
Description: long non-coding RNA (OEUR_LNC013752)
Source: RNAcentral
CGUCCCUAACCAGUUACCAUGUCUUUCAAAAGGUUUCCUGGCAUCGGCCUCACUAAAUGUCCCUUGUCCACAAUAAAUUUUCACAUUUCCAUACUAGUUCCAUUAGUUGAGAACCCAUGACCAUGUCCACAUCUUCGUCCACCGUGCCCUCGUGCAAAUUCAGAUUUUUUCUCUCCAACUACUCAACAAAGACAAAUUGAAAUUUUUUUGAACAUAAAUACAUAGUUGACGAAUAGCAUCUACCGGGAACUUAUUUUACUGCAAUUUGGAGGAAAUAAUAAACGGUCGUUUCAAGGGGUAAAUAUAAUAAAGCAUGAAUUGAUAAAAUUCUGCAAAUGUCCAUGAACCAAAGAAUAUUUUCUGCCAAGACAUUUUUUGUAUAGAAGUUGGGGAUUCCCCCGACACAUUUUAUUAUUUGAAACUGCAGAAAUUAUGGAAUAAAAGAGUACAUCAAGCAUUAUCCAAGAUCAUGUUAAAAAUAAGAACAAAGUAGGCAUUUUGUCCUACUCCUAAUUACUGAACCUUCACAUUCACAAUCAAACUCCUAACUUAUGGGCACUCUUAGUAUAGUUAUCCACAUGGAUAAAUUACAUUUAAGAGGGUUAUUUGUUACAAGAACACUUGAUCAAUGCACCUAUUCCGGAGCACUAUGAUGAAAAGAUUAUAGAGACCUCGUUUAUUUUCAGUUUUUUCCUUUCCAUGACAUACAAUACGGGUGUAUUCAAUGAAAACCAAGCGAAACAAACGGUAAAGAUAGGUGGGAAAAUAGAACACGAUGUCUAAAAGGUAAAUCUUAAUUAGAAUAUUUAGAUAAGUGACGAUUCUUCCACAUAUGCUGCACAAAGUACUUAUGAUUGACUUCAUUAUUUAAUUGAUGACUUCACAAAGCACAGAACAUAAAUGUCAAAAAGACGUAGGAAUCAAUAAACAAACUUUAAAUCUAGAACAUGUGACCCUCUGUCCUCUCCAAACCUAAAACUGAAGAAUCAUUGCAACUUUCUCCGACUGUAACCUCCAAUGCUAUUAGCUCCAUC